RNAcentral lists this long non-coding RNA (2846 nucleotides) under Lotus japonicus. Its description in RNAcentral is "long non-coding RNA (LJAP_LNC000980)". Lineage: Eukaryota; Viridiplantae; Streptophyta; Magnoliopsida; Fabales; Fabaceae. The record is from RNAcentral.
CUCAUAUUAGUUGACAUUCUGAAAUCAAUUUUGAUUUCCAAAAUCAUAGACAGUGAACUGUGCUAAUUCAUAGCAAGUCUAAGCUAAUUCAAUAAAUUGAAUAUUGUUUUUGCAAGUUAUAAUGGGGUAAAUAAUAGUUGGUGGAUCUUAAUUCCCAAUGUACCUCAAUUUUUCUGUAGUAGGAAUAAAGACCUUCAAUAUAAUCAGUAACUGCAAGAGGAUUAUUCGCAUCUCCGACAUCGAUGUCCACAAUAGGCUCUUCGGCAGACUACAAUAAUAUCCUCCAUCUCCAAUUCCUCCUAACAGACCAAUUAAUUCACAGUCACCAACUAAAUUCUGAGAUAAGAAAUACAUAAAUAUAAAUGAAAGAGAUGUUAAAAGAAAUACCAUUUGAUCAGAUUCACUAUGCACUGUUUGCUCCAGAGACAUAGGCACUGGCUGAUCUUCUGCCUUGAGUUCAUCAUCAACAAAUAUAUACUCCCCAAAUCCAUUCGAAUUUGCAACUGUCAAGUUUGACUUCUUGGUUUCCUGUUCAAAAUUGAUCCCAACCUAAUCUUAGUUCCAAUAGUUCAAGAUCUAUGCAGUGCAACAAAUUUCAGCAAAAAGAAAAAUAAAAGACUACCUCAGCUUGAGAUUGCUGAGUGCUGCUAGCAAUUUUUGCAGCAAACCUCCCAAGAGUGAUGGUCAAAGACAAAGAGAUAGGGAAGAAUUAGUGUUAGUUGUAAGCUUUGAGUUCUCUAACUCUUCUAUAGGUAAAUGAUUUGGUAGUCUCAACUUAGUCCCUAGUACAAAACAAUACUUUCAAUUUAUGUUCUCCAAAGUGUCCUUCUAGAUACAUUGCAGCCAUAAUUGAUUCACCUUUACAUUUAUCAAGUCCACAUUGUGUUCCAUCAAGAAGCUAUAAAAGAAUUCCAUAAAAUUCUUCUUUCAGAGUCAUUCCUUUUAUUACACAAAACUACAAAAAUCAUUAUGAGCUAGGCACAAAAUUCCACUUAGAUCCCUCGACAGUGUGUGCAUGGUCCUUGCGUUUUUUAAAAAUAGGUCUUCUUGCUCCAACAGUCACUUGAUAUACUUUCCUAUCUUUCUGCAUUUGUAGGCAUUGAAGUUCCACAACAAACAUUGAUAGGGACACUUAGAAAAAUAACUUUAAUUUGCAUUGUGCUUAAUGAUAGAGCAUCAACCUGAAGUGGUUUAAAGAAAUUAUAAACACAGCUAUAAAUCUGGCUUGAUGAGUUUGAUUGCUCACUUUACUAAUUCCCCUUGCCACACAUGCUGUUUUAGAGCCAUUUAUCCAAAGGAAUGAAGACGGGGUUAGCUUCUUUACUCACUCAACAAACCAUAAAAUUGGAUUGGUUUACCAUGAAGACCCUUGCCACAAAUGAUUGUGCAUUGAAUAUUCCACUUCAACUAAAUUAAGCCAUCAAAACCACAAUAAAGUUCCAGAUAAGUGAAUGAACUUUUUAGAUAACCAUCUCAUAAUCAUAAAAACAGAUAAGCAUAGUUUCACAUAGAAGAAUCAAGUAAGUAAAUGUCCCAUGAAGAGAAUGAACUAUUUGUUUAUCAUUUGUUUAAGUUUGUAUUCUGCAAUGAAUGCAGUAUGUAAAACUAUCAACACCAUCACAUUUGAUUAAGGGAAUCACUGGGCCGAAAAGCUAUAUGUAUUUGAAAAGUGAAUGAUGCAAAUAAAACAACAAAGAAGUACCAGAUCUCUCAUAAUGAACUACCUAUAUGCAGAAAUAUUUUGUAGUUGAAGCAGAGCCAUCUCGUGCAAUCUCCAAAAGUUUAACAUUAGAAUUGAAGUAUAGCCUCCUCAUGCAAUCACCAAAAGUAAACUGCAGGUACAGAGUCUUAAGCAUUAAUCAGGCAUAAUUUUGUACAGAAAACAUGGAGACUUAGCUACUCAUUUACAUGAAUGAACUUACAAAUUGUAUAUGCACCAAAAGUAAACUGCAGGUACAAAGUCUUAAGCAUUAAUCAGGCAUAAUUUUGUACAGAAAACAUGGAGACUUAGCUACUCAUUUACAUGAAUGAACUUACAAAUUGUAUAUGCACCAAAAGUAAACUGCAGGUACAAAGUCUUAAGCAUUAAUCAGGCAUAAUUUUGUACAGAAAACAUGGAGACUUAGCUACUCAUUUACAUGAAUGAACUUACAAAUUGUAUAUGCACCAAAAGUAAACUGCAGGUACAAAGUCUUAAGCAUUAAUCAGGCAUAAUUUUGUACAGAAAACAUGGAGACUUAGCUACUCAUUUACAUGAAUGAACUUACAAAUUGUAUAUGCACCAAAAGUAAACUGCAGGUACAAAGUCUUAAGCAUUAAUCAGGCAUAAUUUUGUACAGAAAACAUGGAGACUUAGCUACUCAUUUACAUGAAUGAACUUACAAAUUGUAUAUGCACCAAAAGUAAACUGCAGGUACAAAGUCUUAAGCAUUAAUCAGGCAUAAUUUUGUACAGAAAACAUGGAGACUUAGCUACUCAUUUACAUGAAUGAACUUACAAAUUGUAUAUGCACCAAAAGUAAACUGCAGGUACAGAGUCUUAAGCAUUAAUCAGGCAUAAUUUUGUACAGAAAAUACUAAUUAUGGAGACUUAGCUACUCAUUUACAUGAAUGAACUUACAAAUUGUAUAUGCACCAAAAGUAAACUGCAGGUACAAAGUAUAUAUUAGCUUCCUAUGUCAUUGGCCUAUACAUGGAAGGCGUGUCAAUUAGCCCUUACAGGUUUUUCCUGUUAACAGGUCACAUUACUUAGUGGACCAGCUCUAAAUGAUAAUUUAAGAUGAAUGCGACAAUCACAAUACCUGUAUUCAUAGAAAAAUAGUGCAUAUAAAAGAUCAGAUAUGAGAA